Molecule: ribosomal RNA, 543 nt
Filed under: Bifidobacterium longum
Lineage: Bacteria; Bacillati; Actinomycetota; Actinomycetes; Bifidobacteriales; Bifidobacteriaceae
Description: bacterial SSU rRNA
Rfam family: Bacterial small subunit ribosomal RNA
Source: RNAcentral
AAGGGUGGUAAUGCCGGAUGCUCCAGUUGAUCGCAUGGUCUUCUGGGAAAGCUUUCGCGGUAUGGGAUGGGGUCGCGUCCUAUCAGCUUGACGGCGGGGUAACGGCCCACCGUGGCUUCGACGGGUAGCCGGCCUGAGAGGGCGACCGGCCACAUUGGGACUGAGAUACGGCCCAGACUCCUACGGGAGGCAGCAGUGGGGAAUAUUGCACAAUGGGCGCAAGCCUGAUGCAGCGACGCCGCGUGAGGGAUGGAGGCCUUCGGGUUGUAAACCUCUUUUAUCGGGGAGCAAGCGAGAGUGAGUUUACCCGUUGAAUAAGCACCGGCUAACUACGUGCCAGCAGCCGCGGUAAUACGUAGGGUGCAAGCGUUAUCCGGAAUUAUUGGGCGUAAAGGGCUCGUAGGCGGUUCGUCGCGUCCGGUGUGAAAGUCCAUCGCUUAACGGUGGAUCCGCGCCGGGUACGGGCGGGCUUGAGUGCGGUAGGGGAGACUGGAAUUCCCGGUGUAACGGUGGAAUGUGUAGAUAUCGAAAAAAAACCACCCA